RNAcentral lists this long non-coding RNA (218 nucleotides) under Elaeis guineensis (African oil palm). Its description in RNAcentral is "long non-coding RNA (EGUI_LNC051533)". The record is from RNAcentral. Lineage: Eukaryota; Viridiplantae; Streptophyta; Magnoliopsida; Arecales; Arecaceae.
ACCAAAUCUUCUAAUACGUGUGACCCAAUAAAUUCGAACCUAAGCCAGUAGCAUAGAAAUAACUUCUUAUCCCAAUCGAUGUAACCAUCUAGUAAUGAUGACUCGACGAUCGGAUGGAUCGAAGUAUUACAAAGCAACCUUCUAGAACCUACUGGCGUAUGGUUACCGUAUAUUCAUCCCUUUGACCCAAAUGCUCAAGGUGACUUAGGGUUUAACUG